AAAAAAGGUAAGCUACUAAGAGCGAAUGGUGGAUGCCUUGACUGGUAAAGGCGAUGAAGGACGUACUAGACUGCGAUAAGCUACGGGGAGCUGUCAAGAAGCUUUGAUCCGUAGAUUUCCGAAUGGGGCAACCCAAUGUAUAGAGAUAUACAUUACCUAUAUAGGAGCGAACGAGGGGAAUUGAAACAUCUUAGUACCCUCAGGAAAAGAAAUCAAUAGAGAUUGCGUCAGUAGCGGCGAGCGAAAGCGUAAGAGGGCAAACCCAGUGCUUGCACUGGGGGUUGUAGGACUGCAAUGUGCAAGAGGUGAGUUUAGCAGAACAUUCUGGAAAGUAUAGCCAUAGAGGGUGAUAGUCCCGUAUGCGAAAAACAAACCUUAGCUAGCAGUAUCCUGAGUAGGGCGGGACACGAGAAAUCCUGUCUGAAGCUGGGUCGACCACGAUCCAACCCUAAAUACUAAUACCAGAUCGAUAGUGCACAAGUACCGUGAGGGAAAGGUGAAAAGAACUGAGGUGAUCAGAGUGAAAUAGAACCUGAAACCAUUUGCUUACAAUCAUUCAGAGCACUAUGUAGCAAUACAGUGUGAUGGACUGCCUUUUGCAUAAUGAGCCUGCGAGUUGUGGUGUCUGGCAAGGUUAAGCAAACGCGAAGCCGUAGCGAAAGCGAGUCUGAAUAGGGCGCUUAGUCAGAUGCUGCAGACCCGAAACGAAGUGAUCUAUCCAUGAGCAAGUUGAAGCUAGUGUAAGAACUAGUGGAGGACUGAACCCAUAGGCGUUGAAAAGCCCCGGGAUGACUUGUGGAUAGGGGUGAAAGGCCAAUCAAACUUCGUGAUAGCUGGUUCUCUCCGAAAUAUAUUUAGGUAUAGCGUUGUGUCGUAAUAUAAGGGGGUAGAGCACUGAAUGGGCUAGGGCAUACACCAAUGUACCAAACCCUAUCAAACUCCGAAUACCUUAUAUGUAAUCACAGCAGUCAGGCGGCGAGUGAUAAAAUCCGUCGUCAAGAGGGAAACAACCCAGACUACCAGCUAAGGUCCCUAAAUCUUACUUAAGUGGAAAACGAUGUGAAGUUACUUAAACAACCAGGAGGUUGGCUUAGAAGCAGCCAUCCUUUAAAGAAAGCGUAAUAGCUCACUGGUCUAGUGAUUUUGCGCGGAAAAUAUAACGGGGCUAAAGUAAGUACCGAAGCUGUAGACUUGAUUUUAUCAAGUGGUAGGAGAGCGUUCUAUUUGCGCCGAAGGUAUACCGGUAAGGAGUGCUGGAGCGAAUAGAAGUGAGCAUGCAGGCAUGAGUAGCGAUAAUUAAUGUGAGAAUCAUUAACGCCGUAAACCCAAGGUUUCCUACGCGAUGCUCGUCAUCGUAGGGUUAGUCGGGUCCUAAGUCGAGUCCGAAAGGGGUAGACGAUGGCAAAUUGGUUAAUAUUCCAAUACCAACAUUAGUGUGCGAUGGAAGGACGCUUAGGGCUAAGGGGGCUAGCGGAUGGAAGUGCUAGUCUAAGGUCGUAGGAGGUUAUACAGGCAAAUCCGUAUAACAUACUCCGAGAACUGAAAGGCUUUUUGAAGUCUUCGGAUGGAUAGAAGAACCCCUGAUGCCGUCGAGCCAAGAAAAGUUUCUAAGUUUAGCUAAUGUUGCCCGUACCGUAAACCGACACAGGUGGGUGGGAUGAGUAUUCUAAGGCGCGUGGAAGAACUCUCUUUAAGGAACUCUGCAAAAUAGCACCGUAUCUUCGGUAUAAGGUGUGGUUCGCUUCGUAUUAGGAUUUACUCCGAAAGCGAAGAAACUUACAACAAAGAGUCCCUCCCGACUGUUUACCAAAAACACAGCACUCUGCUAACUCGUAAGAGGAUGUAUAGGGUGUGACGCCUGCCCGGUGCUCGAAGGUUAAUUGAUGGGGUUAGCAUUAGCGAAGCUCUUGAUCGAAGCCCGAGUAAACGGCGGCCGUAACUAUAACGGUCCUAAGGUAGCGAAAUUCCUUGUCGGUUAAAUACCGACCUGCAUGAAUGGCGUAACGAGAUGGGAGCUGUCUCAAAGAGGGAUCCAGUGAAAUUGUAGUGGAGGUGAAAAUUCCUCCUACCCGCGGCAAGACGGAAAGACCCCGUGGACCUUUACUACAGCUUGACACUGCUAUUUGGAUAAGAAUGUGCAGGAUAGGUGGGAGGCUUUGAGUAUAUGACGCCAGUUGUAUAUGAGCCAUUGUUGAGAUACCACUCUUUCUUAUUUGGGUAGCUAACCAGCUUGAGUUAUCCUCAAGUGGGACAAUGUCUGGUGGGUAGUUUGACUGGGGCGGUCGCCUCCCAAAUAAUAACGGAGGCUUACAAAGGUUGGCUCAGAACGGUUGGAAAUCGUUCGUAGAGUAUAAAGGUAUAAGCCAGCUUAACUGCAAGACAUACAAGUCAAGCAGAGACGAAAGUCGGUCUUAGUGAUCCGGUGGUUCUGUGUGGAAGGGCCAUCGCUCAAAGGAUAAAAGGUACCCCGGGGAUAACAGGCUGAUCUCCCCCAAGAGCUCACAUCGACGGGGAGGUUUGGCACCUCGAUGUCGGCUCAUCGCAUCCUGGGGCUGGAGCAGGUCCCAAGGGUAUGGCUGUUCGCCAUUUAAAGCGGUACGCGAGCUGGGUUCAGAACGUCGUGAGACAGUUCGGUCCCUAUCUGCCGUGGGCGUAAGAAGAUUGAAGAGAUUUGACCCUAGUACGAGAGGACCGGGUUGAACAAACCACUGGUGUAGCUGUUGUUCUGCCAAGAGCAUCGCAGCGUAGCUAAGUUUGGAAAGGAUAAACGCUGAAAGCAUCUAAGCGUGAAGCCAACUCUAAGAUGAAUCUUCUCUAAGCUCUCUAGAAGACUACUAGUUUGAUAGGCUGGGUGUGUAAUGGAUGAAAGUCCUUUAGCUGACCAGUACUAAUAGAGCGUUUGGCUUAUCUUUAAUAAAGCAU
Molecule: ribosomal RNA, 2922 nt
Filed under: Campylobacter coli
Lineage: Bacteria; Pseudomonadati; Campylobacterota; Epsilonproteobacteria; Campylobacterales; Campylobacteraceae
Description: 23S ribosomal RNA
Rfam family: Bacterial large subunit ribosomal RNA
Source: RNAcentral